Long non-coding RNA from Bombina bombina (fire-bellied toad), 520 nucleotides. RefSeq lists it as uncharacterized. The transcript has 4 exons. The record is from RefSeq and is a predicted model, not a curated record. NCBI's taxonomy places the organism in Eukaryota, Metazoa, Chordata, Amphibia, Anura, Bombinatoridae.
UUAUCGUUCUGAGCCUAUAAUGUGUUAUGACAGCUGGCAAUAUUUUGGCACAUUGACAUGUCCCUAUUAAUGUGUGGUGCAUUAGUGGCAACCAGAGGGGCUCUGUUAAAAGGUGACAUUUAGAAAGCUCAGAGGAUAAACAAGGACACUCCACAGAUGAGAACAAACAAUGAAGAAUAAUGGUACAUAAGUCAUUAUUAUACAGUGCAAAAUAUAUUUCCUUUGUAAUCAACUUUUCUUCAAUGUAAUAUAAACACAACAGACGUCCAUCCUUGAUAGCAGCUCCUUUUGGCAAAAUGUUCUUAACAAAAAUAGGACCAGGUCCAUGUACAGUAGAAUCUCUGGUGACAACUGUGAAUCCAAGUCCAUCUGCCCCUAAAUAUUGCCAAGUGGAGGAAGAGAUGGUGGAGGAAAAGAUGGUGGGGAAAAAGUAACACCAUGAGGAGACAACUCUGAAGUCAAUGGAGGCUGCAUUGAUGAGAUCAAACUGGAUACAAUGCCAUUGGACGGUUCAGUAAUC